GUUGAAAUGAUUUAAAAAACACGCCUUUUAAAACACGAUUAGGCCUUCUCUUUUUUAGACAUGAUCGUCACGGCUAAAAAGACUAUAUAACAAAAAUGCGUCAUAAAAAUGAAAGUGAGACGGUUUUAAUCGUUGUGAAAUAAGAACGUUGAUUUAAAUGUAAAAAUAAAAACUUUUUGAAUGACUAAAGACAAGAAACACGAACUUUAAAUGGUAAAAAACAACGAAUAAAAGGGAACGUGAACCAUUUUAAAAUACGGACAAAAGAUUUUAAACGGUCCAAAAUUGGGGUAUGACACCGUUGUUUAUGAUGCUUACUCUGAUAAAUGUUUUAAGAAAAUUUUAUAUUGGGAAAACGGGGUGUUACAUGGAAAGGUGGGAUAUAAGUCGUAUGAAUGCAAGAAGGAGAUUGGGUGUUACAACUGUAGGGAGGCAGGUCAUAUCAGUACCAAGUGAACCAAGCCGAAAAAGGCGGCGUGGAGAGUUUUCGCAUUGAACGCAGAGGAAGUGGAGUUGCUGGAUAAUCUUAUCCGAGGU
This 537-nucleotide long non-coding RNA is filed under the name Medicago truncatula (barrel medic). Its description in RNAcentral is "long non-coding RNA (MTRU_LNC007195)". Lineage: Eukaryota; Viridiplantae; Streptophyta; Magnoliopsida; Fabales; Fabaceae. The record is from RNAcentral.